This 679-nucleotide long non-coding RNA is filed under the name Citrus x clementina. RNAcentral's name for it is "Citrus clementina (C. clementina) long non-coding RNA (CCLE_LNC006690)". The record is from RNAcentral. Lineage: Eukaryota; Viridiplantae; Streptophyta; Magnoliopsida; Sapindales; Rutaceae.
CCAAAAGGGACAGAAAUUAAUCGUCGUCGUUUUGCAUGAAAGGCCCCCCCCUCCCUCAACUGGACCCCCCACCACGAAACCUCCACCGCAUGCCCCGUCUCCUAAGUCUCCUUCUCCGGCCACACAGCCGCCGGCGACUUCCCCCUCCACCUCACCAACAUCUCAUGCACCUUCGGCUAAUCCUCCUAAAGGGUCCUCUCCGACGCCGGCAACUUCACCUUCCACGUCUUCGCCUUAUCCUCCAAAAGGAUACUCUCCAGUGCCGGCGACUUCACCUUCCACGUCACCAUCAUCUCAUGCGCCUUCGCCUUAUCCUCCAAAAGGGUACUCUCCGGUGCCGGCAACUUCACCUUCUACGUCACCAUCAUCAUCCCAAUCACCUGCGGCUAAUGCUCCAACUGGGCUGUCACCGGCUCCGGGAACUUCCCCCUCCACGUCACCGUCAUCGCAACCACCUGCGGCUAAUGCUCCAACUGGGCUGUCACCGGCUCCGGGAACUUCCCCCUCCACGUCACCGUCAUCGCAGCCACCUGCGGCUAAUGCUCCAACAGGAGUAUCUCCCCCGCCGGGAACCUCCCCUUCCACGUCACCGCCGGCGGUUCCAUCGUCACCUGGUAAUGCGCCAUCAUUGGCGCCGUCGAACUCAAGUAAUCCGGCUGGUGGGACGCCACCGCCGUCG